AGAGUUUGAUCAUGGCUCAGAGUGAACGCUGGCGGCAUGCCUAACACAUGCAAGUCGAACGGUAACGGGCCCGCAAGGGUGCCGACGAGUGGCGGACGGGUGAGGAAUACAUCGGAAUUUGCCCAGUCGUGGGGGAUAACGUAGGGAAACUUACGCUAAUACCGCAUACGACCGGAAGGUGAAAGCGGGGGAUCGCAAGACCUCGCGCGAGUGGAUGAGCCGAUGUCGGAUUAGCUAGUUGGUGGGGUAAAGGCCUACCAAGGCGACGAUCCGUAGCUGGUCUGAGAGGAUGAUCAGCCACACUGGGACUGAGACACGGCCCAGACUCCUACGGGAGGCAGCAGUGGGGAAUAUUGGACAAUGGGGGCAACCCUGAUCCAGCAAUGCCGCGUGUGUGAAGAAGGCCUUCGGGUUGUAAAGCACUUUUGUCCGGAACGAAACGUGUCGGGUGAAUAUCCCGGCAAACUGACGGUACCGGAAGAAUCAGCACCGGCUAACUUCGUGCCAGCAGCCGCGGUAAUACGAAGGGUGCAAGCGUUACUCGGAAUUACUGGGCGUAAAGCGUGCGUAGGUGGUUUGUUAAGUCCGUUGUGAAAGCCCUGGGCUCAACCUGGGAAUGGCAGUGGAUACUGGCAAGCUAGAGUGCGGUAGAGGGUAGUGGAAUUCCCGGUAGCAGUGAAAUGCGUAGAGAUCGGGAGGAACACCAGUGGCGAAGGCGGCUACCUGGACCAGCACUGACACUGAGGCACGAAAGCGUGGGGAGCAAACAGGAUUAGAUACCCUAGUAGUCC
This 791-nucleotide ribosomal RNA is filed under the name uncultured bacterium. RNAcentral describes it as "bacterial SSU rRNA". It matches the Rfam family "Bacterial small subunit ribosomal RNA", at positions 8 to 796 of the family's 1533-position model. The record is from RNAcentral.